UGUAGCGUCAGCCUUGACGUGCCAUGGGUAGCAGGUUCGAUUCCCAGCUGGGACAAAAUCAUCCAUAUUAAAUAUCGUAACUUUGUUUUGUACUGGAGAAGUAUUGUAUGCAGUUAAAAAGAAUAUGUGUACGUAUUAUAAAAAUGGAUGAAAUAAUAUUUAACCUGAAAUUUUUAAAGAACGAUAAUCUAAAAAAUAAUGUCAGACCUUAAUAUAAUAAAUAUAAUACCUUAAUAUAAUAAAUUAACUGCAGAAUUGUAGCACAAAAGAUUUGUAAAUACAUCCGGGUCGAAGAUAAAUUUAUGAGAAUCUACACAUUAGCAUCAUAAUAUUUAUCACCUGAUAACUGGUUAAUGUAUUUUUUUCAAUUAAACAUGGAAAUGACAUUACGAUGUGAUUAAGUUGAUUCAGUAGUAAUAGGGUUUGUGCAAAAGAAUAGCCUUGGUCAAUACAUAAAUGCAUUAGAGUCAUUUGCGUGGUAAGAUGUGUCUUAAAAAAUUGUCAUACUGGUUAAAAAGUUUCAAGUUACAUUGUGAUGUGGUUGUUGGCGCUCAUGCUAUGCAAAUGAGAGGCGUCAGGGUGGCUGUUUGUUAAAGUAGUGGGAUAUACUUGGAGACGACGAGCAAUCGUCCAUCCCGUGAAAAAUAUUCGACUUGAGGGCAUUGGUCAUGAAGUAGAUAUAGGGGUGGAGAAACUCUGACUGGUCGACCUUGUUAAAAAUGCAGCUUUUGCGCGAUCGAACGACAACAUACAUACAUUUCCAGUUGUGCUUACUCAUUCUGUCUCCUUCUAAAAUUAUGUUGUUUAUUUUUAUAUAUAAAAGGUAUCCACUUUAAAUUUAAUAAUCAUUCAUAACAAUAAAAAAAAUACUACAAGCUGUAGUGUGAUUAAUAAUUAAAUAAGUCUACCCAGUUCAAUUAAUAUCCUUUACAAACCAAUGGAAAAUAAAAGUUAAUUAUUUGUUGAUAAACUACGGUUAAUGUUUAACGGAAUUCCAUUUUUCAAAAUAUGUUGACUGGACUAUAUUGAGAAAUUUUAAUAUUAAGUUUUUGAGAUUAUUAAACAUGCAAAUAAAAGUGGCAAAUAUGUAUGAACAAAGUCAGUGUAAAUUUGUAUUCUACAUCGAGUUGGUUUUGAAUCUAGUCUAUAUUUCAGUUGAAAUAUCAUUAUUAAUAAACACAUUCAGUACAAAAAAACUCUUAUGAAAUUAUAAUAAUAUUGAGAUUGGCAGAAUAAUCCAUAUGUGUAUGAAAAUAUUUUAAUCAUCAAGACAAAGUUGCUGAUAUUUCACUCCAAAAUUGCACGAUAUGGCAUAUCAUUAAAGAGUGAUGAUUUAAAUCCUUUGCAAACCAAAAUAUUGGGAAAUAUUGAUGUUGAAUUUUUGAGUAAAUUGAACAUAAUUGAUUGCAGUGCAAAUACAAAUUCUCCAUCAAAAAUAUGAUGAACGACUGUGUCUUCAGAUUCUGACCAAAAAUUCAUUUUAUAUCCCUUUAAUCAAAGUUUCAUUUUAAUUGAAUACUAUCAAGGUGUCAACCUUUGACUAUUUUAAAAUAAAAUAAUUGAAAUAUCAUACCACCGAUUCACCAGAUGUACAAAAGUCAUCAGGAGUUGAUAAAUUUUUCAUAAAUGCAAAGGUCUCUGUAGUAGAAUAAAACAGAAUACUGACUGACACAAAAACACAAAAUUUGGUUAUUGUCACCAUGAUAUUGAUAUUGAAAUGUAUCUAAUUUGCAAUAUAAUUUGUGUGUGUGUAGAGCACAUGUAGGUCACAAACUGAACGUUUUUUUUAUUGAAUUCCGACUAUAUAUGAGGUCAAAGUAGAUAGAAUCGUUUGAUAGUCAAGUAUACACAUAUUUAUUGUAUAGCAGUCUAUUCAAUGUUAUGGACAUGUAAGCAAUUAUUCUGUAUAAAUUUGCAAAGAAGAUUAUUGAUUAAACACCUGGAACAUUUUCAAUUGUCAAUAUAUAAUUCUUGUCAUACACAGUACAAGUAAUAAUUGAAGAAUGUGUUUGUUUUCAAAAUCAAUUACUCUUCUUCCAUUAUUUGUAGCGUAAACAUUUUGACUGAAGAAGAUUCGACUUUAUAAUCUGAUUAUUUUUUAUUCUUUUUAUGGAAUGAGUUGCGUGACAAAUUGAAAUAUUUUCAUGAUAUCUAUUAAAAUUACUCUCAUUUCAUUUAUUGAUGAAAGUAACGGGAAUUGACAGUAGAAUCGUCGAAAAAGGUUUCCUUGUAAAGGACAUAGCACUUAAAAUCAAAUGAUAUUUUUUGUUUGGACAGUUCUCGAAAUUGGAGCAGAAUAAAUGGAGAAGUAGAGAUGUUUUUUGAGGCUACAAACGAAAUAGUUGGAGAUUGCGGAAUCCUACGUUUUUCUGCGGAUCCGGGAAUCCCAUUGGAGGUCUAAUCGCAGCUGUUAAAAAUGUCUGAAAAAAAGGAGAAGCAAACGAAGAUUUUUUUAUUAUUUUUAUUUUCAACAAAAGAGUGAAGCACAAGUUGAAACGCCUGCAUUCAAAUGGUUUUAGAAACACGUUUGCCAUACAAAUAUUUUAAAAAGGAAACUCGUAAUGUCUAGGAAAUACUGAAAGGAUGUAAGGAAAAAGGUGAAGAAAAUUACGAACAUGAACGAAACUUGAG
This is a long non-coding RNA of Chelonus insularis, 2631 nucleotides long. RefSeq lists it as uncharacterized. The record is from RefSeq and is a predicted model, not a curated record. Lineage: Eukaryota; Metazoa; Arthropoda; Insecta; Hymenoptera; Braconidae. The transcript is spliced from 5 exons.